This is a long non-coding RNA of Cucurbita moschata (crookneck pumpkin), 369 nucleotides long. RefSeq lists it as uncharacterized. The record is from RefSeq and is a predicted model, not a curated record. The transcript has 3 exons. Lineage: Eukaryota; Viridiplantae; Streptophyta; Magnoliopsida; Cucurbitales; Cucurbitaceae.
CUCUCUUUUGCAGAUGGUUCAUGGAUAUAGAGUGUAUAGACAUGUGCGGUGAACGUGGAUCGAACACGUGACCUUCAGAUCUUCAGUCUGACGCUCUCCCAACUGAGCUAUCCCCGCAAUUGGUAUACACAACAACUUUGUCUCUCUUUUGCUCAUGGAUAUAAAGUGUAUAGACAUGUGCGGUGAACGUGGAUCAAACACGUGACCUUCAGAUCUUCAGUCUGACACUCUCCCAACUAAGCUAUCCCCACAAUUGGUACACAACGAUAUAGAGUGUAUAGACAUGUGCGGUGAACGUGGAUCGAACACGUGACCUUCAGAUCUUCAGUCUGACGCUCUCCCAACUGAGCUAUUCCCGCAACGGGUAAC